AGCUGCCAGGCUGCCAGCGAGGAACCGAGCCCUUCAGGGCGAGAUGUCAGGGAUCUGGAGCUGUGCAGGUGGUGCUAAUGCACAGAGUGAUCUCCUGGGUCCAGCAGCACCUGGCAGCCAGGCUAUAAAACCUGGUUCACGAGGCAGGCUGGGCUCUGGGGGAGCUAGGGGAGCUGCCUGAAGGAGCUCCAGAAGGCAGAGAUGCUCUAGCAAGACCCAAGGUGCUGGUGGCGGCAGGCUCAGGGCACGUGCAAUCAGGUUGGCAGCACAGGGCUGCCAAUGUGGAGCUUGGGGGAGUCAAUCACUGCUCUGGCUGGAUGAGCCACCCACUAACCCCUGCAAUAUAACGCACUGACCCUGCCGCCCUCACCCUGCUUUGGAAACACUGCACCAAGCCCGGCGCUGAGCUGUGGUGCUGAAAUCACUGACAAAUAGCCGCAUCACCCCGGGUACCCUCCUCCUGCCGACACGCUCACCAGCAGUGAGCUAAAUUAUUCAUAGCAGCAGUUCUGAACAGCACAGUCCGUGCACAACCGCGGUACUUGCACAGCGACCAUGGAUGCGUGGGGUUGGAUUACUUCGGCCAAGUACACGGCACAGACUGCAUGUGGAGGACGCUGGACAGGGCUGUCAAGGACGAUCACACAGUACACUGAGCCUUCUGGACAGCAGCCAGGCCGGGGAUUAAGCCUGACCCCAGAAAGCCGGCAGCCGCCUGCCCGGCAGGAGGAGCAGCGUUUGGCUGGAGGCAGAGCCUGCAGCGUGCUGAGCCCAUCAGGGUGCGUGGUGCUUCCCUGCUGACAUGGCAGUUUGGAGCCCUCGGAUUUGGGAUUCCCGUGAACUCCGGGCCCCUCCUGGCCGGCACGCUUACCGCUGGAGAAGUUGACGAUCCCCUCCUCCACCACCAAGGUGGGCAUCGCCCCGCUGCCCUGCAGCAUCGACACCACCUUGUCGUGGGAGCAGUUCCUGCGGGGCACAGGAGAGCCGGUCAGAGCUGAGCUGCCCUCCUCUGUCUGGCAAACAGCCCCGGCUGG
Long non-coding RNA from Oxyura jamaicensis (ruddy duck), 1034 nucleotides. RefSeq lists it as uncharacterized. Lineage: Eukaryota; Metazoa; Chordata; Aves; Anseriformes; Anatidae. The transcript is spliced from 2 exons. The record is from RefSeq and is a predicted model, not a curated record.